ACCAAAUCCUAGAACUUCACCUUUUUCAAUUAUUCAUAAAACUAGCCAAUUUGGAUCCACAUUUCCAAUCAUCUCUCAAAUAUUUUCCCGUCGAGAACAACAGAUUUAUCAAUGGCUUCCAAAGCAAGCAGCUCCAUUUCCCAAACCUUGAAACGAUACAUCAAGAAGCCAUGGGAGGUAACCGGACCUUGCACCGACCCAGAGUACAAAAUUGCUUUGCCCAAGGCCACGGAGUAUCGUAUUCGCUGCCCGGCCACCACUUUGCAAAAGCCCAUUGUCCCCACUUCCGACCCCGAAACCGUCUUCGACAUCAAGUAUUACGCCCGCGAUCAACGCCGCAACCGCUCCCCGAUCCGCCGCACCGUCUUGAAGAAAGCCGACGUUGAGAAAAUGAUGAAAGAGAACACGUUCGAUGUCAACGAUUUCCCUAAGGUUUACUUGACUGCUAAAUUUGAAGAAGAUGAAAAUGCCGUAAGUGGAGGCUACCAGAAAUAGGCCUAUGGAACCUGUGGAAAUUUAGUAUGCACCAGUUUCCUUACGUUUCGCUGUCUUGCUGUGAACAAAUGCCGGCCAUCUUAACAUAACAGUUUCUUGAGACUCUUGAAAACUAAAGAGGAUGCAGUGUCCGACAUGAAAAAGCAAGCAUUGUUGAAAUUAAACCCCAACCGACCAAACCGAUCCAGUAUGCAAGAUGAGACAGCACAUUAACUGUAUCCUAGAAAACCGAAAAAACAAACGGAUCUGGUACGUCAUAUGAGACUGCUUGAAAGUUUAAAUAAUUUGAUUAUCAAUCUUCUGGAA
This is an RNA transcript of Gossypium raimondii (Peruvian cotton), 801 nucleotides long. RefSeq lists it as uncharacterized. The transcript has 3 exons. Lineage: Eukaryota; Viridiplantae; Streptophyta; Magnoliopsida; Malvales; Malvaceae. The record is from RefSeq and is a predicted model, not a curated record.